UAUUGGUCAAUGGACGCAAGUCUGAACCAGCCAUGCCGCGUGCAGGAUGAAGGCCCUAUGGGUUGUAAACUGCUUUUGUACGGGAAAAAACCCUUGAACGUGUUCGAGGCUGAUGGUACCGUAAGAAUAAGGAUCGGCUAACUCCGUGCCAGCAGCCGCGGUAAUACGGAGGAUCCAAGCGUUAUCCGGAUUCAUUGGGUUUAAAGGGUGCGUAGGCGGAAUAGUAAGUCAGUGGUGAAAGCCUGUUGCUUAACAACAGAACUGCCAUUGAUACUGCUAAUCUAGAGUAUAGAUGAUGUGGGCGGAAUGUGUCGUGUAGCGGUGAAAUGCUUAGAUAUGACACAGAACACCGAUUGCGAAGGCAGCUCACAAAACUAUAACUGACGCUGAGGCACGAAAGCGUGGGGAUCGAAC
RNAcentral lists this ribosomal RNA (414 nucleotides) under uncultured bacterium. Its description in RNAcentral is "bacterial SSU rRNA". It matches the Rfam family "Bacterial small subunit ribosomal RNA", at positions 362 to 773 of the family's 1533-position model. The record is from RNAcentral.